UACGUAGGGGGCAAGCGUUAUCCGGAUUUACUGGGUGUAAAGGGAGCGUAGACGGUAAUGUAAGUCAGAUGUGAAAGCCCAGGGCUCAACCCUGGGACUGCAUUUGAAACUAUGUUACUAGAGUGCAGGAGAGGUAAGUGGAAUUCCUAGUGUAGCGGUGAAAUGCGUAGAUAUUAGGAGGAACACCAGUGGCGAAGGCGGCUUACUGGACUGUAACUGACGUUGAGGCUCGAAAGCGUGGGGAGCAAACAGG
RNAcentral lists this ribosomal RNA (253 nucleotides) under uncultured Lachnospiraceae bacterium. Its description in RNAcentral is "partial 16S ribosomal RNA". It matches the Rfam family "Bacterial small subunit ribosomal RNA", at positions 524 to 776 of the family's 1533-position model. Lineage: Bacteria; Bacillati; Bacillota; Clostridia; Lachnospirales; Lachnospiraceae. The record is from RNAcentral.